RNAcentral lists this ribosomal RNA (506 nucleotides) under uncultured bacterium. Its description in RNAcentral is "partial 16S ribosomal RNA". It matches the Rfam family "Bacterial small subunit ribosomal RNA", at positions 30 to 523 of the family's 1533-position model. The record is from RNAcentral.
AUUGAACGCUGGCGGCAGGCCUAACACAUGUAAGUCGAACGGUAACAGGAAACAGCUUGCUGUUUCGCUGACGAGUGGCGGACGGGUGAGUAAUGUCUGGGAAACUGCCUGAUGGAGGGGGAUAACUACUGGAAACGGUAGCUAAUACCGCAUAACGUCGCAAGACCAAAGAGGGGGACCUUCGGGCCUCUUGCCAUCGGAUGUGCCCAGAUGGGAUUAGCUAGUAGGUGGGGUAACGGCUCACCUAGGCGACGAUCCCUAGCUGGUCUGAGAGGAUGAGCAGCCACACUGGAACUGAGACACGGUCCAGACUCCUACGGGAGGCAGCAGUGGGGAAUAUUGCACAAUGGGCGCAAGCCUGAUGCAGCCAUGCCGCGUGUAUGAAGAAGGCCUUCGGGUUGUAAAGUACUUUCAGCGGGGAGGAAGGGAGUAAAGUUAAUACCUUUGCUCAUUGACGUUACCCGCAGAAGAAGCACCGGCUAACUCCGUGCCAGCCGCCGCCGUAA